RNAcentral lists this ribosomal RNA (484 nucleotides) under uncultured bacterium. RNAcentral's name for it is "partial 16S ribosomal RNA". It matches the Rfam family "Bacterial small subunit ribosomal RNA", at positions 30 to 507 of the family's 1533-position model. The record is from RNAcentral.
AUUGAACGCUGGCGGCAGGCCUAACACAUGCAAGUCGAGCGGAUGAAGGGAGCUUGCUCCUGGAUUCAGCGGCGGACGGGUGAGUAAUGCCUAGGGAUCUGCCUGGUAGUGGGGGAUAACGUCCGGAAACGGGCGCUAAUACCGCAUACGUCCUGAGGGAGAAAGUGGGGGAUCUUCGGACCUCACGCUAUCAGAUGAGCCUAGGUCGGAUUAGCUAGUUGGUGUGGUAAAGGCCUACCAAGGCGACGAUCCGUAACUGGUCUGAGAGGAUGAUCGGUCACACUGGAACUGAGACACGGUCCAGACUCCUACGGGAGGCAGCAGUGGGGAAUAUUGGACAGUGGGCGAAAGCCUGAUCCAGCCAUGCCGCGUGUGUGAAGAAGGUCUUCGGAUUGUAAAGCACUUUAAGUUGGGAGGAAGGGCAGUAAGUUAAUACCUUGCUGUUUUGACGUUACCAACAGAAUAAGCACCGGCUAACUUCGUG